GCAAAAGCAUUCAUCAAUUACACUCCCUUUAAUCAAGAACGAAAGUUAGAGUAGCAAAGGCCAUUAGAUGCAGCUGUAGUUUUAACCAUAAACGAUGACAUCUCAGGAUAUCAUUGAUAAUCUUGCUUUUGUCAUGUUUUUGCGCACGCCGUUAAAAAGCGCGCAUGGAACAUGAUAAUGCUCAUGCAGAUUAUGUUCAUUGAGGAUCAGAUUGUGGUAACACAAUCCCUCGCUCGACCAAUGGUGCACUGUGUAGGAAACUAUUUAGAUUUCUGCGUGGAGUGUACAGUAGCAAUACAGAAAUUUAAAAGAAUUGACGGAAGACCGAUCACUGGGAAUGGACCGCACGGCUUAAUUUGACUCAACGCGGGAAAUCUUACCAGGUCAGGACACCGUGAGGAAAGACAGACUGCAGCUCUUUCUUGAUUCUGUGCUUUGUUAUAUGUAGUGCAUGGCCUUUGGGAAGUGAGUGGAUUG
This 477-nucleotide ribosomal RNA is filed under the name uncultured Cercozoa. RNAcentral's name for it is "partial 18S ribosomal RNA". It matches the Rfam family "Eukaryotic small subunit ribosomal RNA", at positions 945 to 1308 of the family's 1831-position model. The record is from RNAcentral. Lineage: Eukaryota; Cercozoa.